AGAGUUUGAUCCUGGCUCAGAUUGAACGCUGGCGGCAUGCCUAACACAUGCAAGUCGAACGGCAGCAUGUUUCGCACUUAGAUUACUUUAAGGGAAGAGUAAUGUAAGUGCGAAAUGAUGGCGAGUGGCGGACGGGUGAGUAAGAGGUAGGAAUCUGUCCUUAAGAGCAGGAUAACCCGCGGAAACGGGGGGUAAUACGG
This 200-nucleotide ribosomal RNA is filed under the name uncultured bacterium. RNAcentral's name for it is "partial 16S ribosomal RNA". It matches the Rfam family "Bacterial small subunit ribosomal RNA", at positions 8 to 171 of the family's 1533-position model. The record is from RNAcentral.